UACGUGACCACGCCCACUUCACAGGCCAGCAAACUGAGGCUCAGCGAGGGUAGGCGGCAGGCCCAGUGUUGCAGAACUCAGGCCGUCUUCUCCACCACCCGGGCAGGCCUUGUGCUGGACACUGAUGAUAUGGAAAUGAACUGGCCAUGGCUUCUGCCCUCAAGGAGCUCUUAGUCUCAAGGAGAGACGGACAGGGAAGCGAAGGCACACAGUAUAGUACGACAAUGGGAAGUCUGGUACAGGAUGCAUUGGAAUUUGGAGGAAGGAGCCUGCUUGGUGACAUCACAGAAGUCUUCCCAGAGGAAGUGGCAUUCAAUUGGCGAAUGAGCAAAUUAACUGUGAUGUAUCCAUAUAAUGAACUAUUAUUCAGCAAUAAAAGGAAAUCAUCUAUCUCACCAUGAAAAGACACGGAGCGGCAUAUUGCUAAGUGAAAGAAGCCAGUCUGAAAAAACCAUGUACUGUAGGAUUCCAAUUGUAGGGCGUUCUGGAAAAAAGGAAACUUCUACAUAAGAAUGGGGCUCUAAGGACCACGGCAGCGCUGGAGCGAGGGGACGUGUCGUUUGGGUCCCCCCCCCCGGAAGCAGACGCUGAGGUGAAGUCAGGAAUGCAAGAGAGAGAGGGCGAGGAAGCGGGCUUGGGCAGGAGAGCCUCUGGGCAGACGCCGACCUGGCCCCUGCCGUGCUCGGGCGUUUGAGGCGGGAACCCCAAAGCUGAUGUGUAUCCGAAGGGGCCCGUCUGUCACUCACUCCUCCCAGCUGACCUUCCAGCUCUUUCUCCCUCCCAGACUUCCGUGCAGACUCAGCGAGACAUCAUUCGCACAAACUCUGCCAGGACAAAGCCAAGGUUGCGGGUCUGCAGUCUGGACCCCAGUAGGGGUGGGACCAAUAUAUUGGCCUUGAGGUGGGAGGAGGUGUGGUCCAGGGCAGAGCCCACAAGGGAGUCUUCUGGAUCUGGGGAACGGGCCCCCAGGCGAAGAAGAGGGGCUUUGCUUUAUGGACAAAACAAAACGAAACGAAACAGAGAAACCGCAGCAACGACAAGACCCCCCAAACCUCGUAACUGAACCUGUUUUCCUCUUUGCUUUGGCUGCUAGGAAGCUCAGG
Herpailurus yagouaroundi (jaguarundi) is the source of this 1103-nucleotide long non-coding RNA. RefSeq lists it as uncharacterized. NCBI's taxonomy places the organism in Eukaryota, Metazoa, Chordata, Mammalia, Carnivora, Felidae. The transcript has 4 exons. The record is from RefSeq and is a predicted model, not a curated record.